GGGCCAGACUCCUACGGGAGGCAGCAGUGAGGAAUAUUGGUCAAUGGGCGCGAGCCUGAACCAGCCAAGUCGCGUGAGGGAGGACGGCCCUACGGGUUUUAAACCUCUUUUGCCGGGGAGCAACGGGCGUCACGUGUGGCGCCACUGAGAGUACCCGGAGAAAAAGCAUCGGCUAACUCCGUGCCAGCAGCCGCGGUAAUACGGAAGGUCCGGGCGUUAUCCGGAUUUAUUGGGUUUAAAGGGAGCGUAGGCCGGUCUUUAAGCGUGCCGUGAAAUUUUGUGGCUCAACCAUGAGAGUGCGGCGCGAACUGGAGACCUUGAGUGCGCGGAAGGCAGGCGGAAUUCGUGGUGUAGCGGUGAAAUGCAUAGAUAUCACGCAGAACUCCGAUUGCGAAGGCAGCAUACCGGCGCUCAACUGACGCUCAUGCACGAAAGCGUGGGUAUCGAACAGGAUUAGAUACCCGAGUA
Molecule: ribosomal RNA, 468 nt
Filed under: uncultured bacterium
Lineage: Bacteria
Description: bacterial SSU rRNA
Rfam family: Bacterial small subunit ribosomal RNA
Source: RNAcentral